This 262-nucleotide ribosomal RNA is filed under the name uncultured bacterium. RNAcentral describes it as "partial 16S ribosomal RNA". It matches the Rfam family "Bacterial small subunit ribosomal RNA", at positions 793 to 1055 of the family's 1533-position model. The record is from RNAcentral.
GUCCACGCCCUAAACGAUGGAUACUCGACAUUUGUGAUACACAAUAAGUGUCUGAGCGAAAGCAUUAAGUAUCCCACCUGGGAAGUACGAUCGCAAGAUUGAAACUCAAAGGAAUUGGCGGGGUCGCACAAGCGGUGGAGCAUGUGGUUUAAUUCGAUGAUACGCGAGGAACCUUACCCGGGCGUAGAAUGCCGGUGGACCGUGGGUGGAAAGACUCACUUUGUAGCAAUACACCGCCGGUAAGGUGCUGCAUGGCUGUCGU